GAUGAACGCUGGCGGCGUGCCUAAUACAUGCAAGUCGAGCGAACAGACGAGGAUCUUGCUCCGCUGACGUUAGCGGCGGACGGGUGAGUAACACGUGUAUAACCUACCUAUAAGACUGGGAUAACUUCGGGAAACCGGAGCUAAUACCGGAGAAUAUAUUGAACCGCGGUGUUCAUUGGUGAAAUACGGUUUUGCUGGCACUUAUAGAUGGUUCCGGGCCGCAUUAGCUAGUUGGUACGGUAACGGCUUACCAAGGCUACGAUGCGUAGCCGAACUGAGAGGGUGAUCGGCCACACUGGAACUGAGACACGGUCCAGACGACUACGGGACGCAGCAGUAGGGAAUCUUACGCAAUGGGCGAAAGCCUGACGGAGCAACGCCGAGUGUGUGAUGAAGGUCUUCGGAUCGUAAAGCCCUGUUACUAGGGAAGAACAACUGUGUAAGUAAAUAUGGACGUAUUGACGGUACCUAAUAAGAAAGCAACGGCUAACUACGUG
This 497-nucleotide ribosomal RNA is filed under the name uncultured bacterium. RNAcentral's name for it is "partial 16S ribosomal RNA". It matches the Rfam family "Bacterial small subunit ribosomal RNA", at positions 28 to 507 of the family's 1533-position model. The record is from RNAcentral.